Molecule: ribosomal RNA, 253 nt
Filed under: uncultured bacterium
Lineage: Bacteria
Description: partial 16S ribosomal RNA
Rfam family: Bacterial small subunit ribosomal RNA
Source: RNAcentral
GACGGGGGGGGCAAGUGUUCUUCGGAUUCACUGGGCGUAAAGGGUGCGCAGGCGGCCAAGUGUGUUAGGCGUGAAAGCCCGGGGCUUAACCCCGGAAUUGCACCUAAAACUACAUGGCUAGAGCAUUGGAGAGGGUAGCGGAAUUCACGGUGUAGCAGUGAAAUGCGUAGAUAUCGUGAGGAACACCAGAGGCGAAGGCGGCUACCUGGACAAUUGCUGACGCUCAGGCACGAAAGCGUGGGGAGCAAAAGGG